This 211-nucleotide ribosomal RNA is filed under the name Parahaemophilus parainfluenzae. RNAcentral's name for it is "Haemophilus parainfluenzae partial 23S ribosomal RNA". It matches the Rfam family "Bacterial large subunit ribosomal RNA", at positions 2735 to 2925 of the family's 2925-position model. Lineage: Bacteria; Pseudomonadati; Pseudomonadota; Gammaproteobacteria; Pasteurellales; Pasteurellaceae. The record is from RNAcentral.
GCAUUGCCGGGUAGCUAAGUGCGGAAGAGAUAAGUGCUGAAAGCAUCUAAGCACGAAACUUGCCAAGAGAUGAGUUCUCCCAGAUUUAAAAUCUGUAAGGGUUGUUUAAGACUAAGACGUAGAUAGGCAUGGUGUGUAAGCGGUGCGAGCCGUUGAGCUAACAUGUACUAAUUGCCCGAGAGGCUUAACUAUACAACGCUCAAGGGUUUUG